RNAcentral lists this ribosomal RNA (978 nucleotides) under Triticum aestivum (bread wheat). Its description in RNAcentral is "partial small subunit ribosomal RNA". Lineage: Eukaryota; Viridiplantae; Streptophyta; Magnoliopsida; Poales; Poaceae. The record is from RNAcentral.
AUGGCCUCCGACUACCUCAGCGCGCUCAGGGCCUUCGACGACACCAAGGCCGGCGUCAAGGGCCUCGUCGACGCCGGCGCCACGGCCAUCCCGGCCAUCUUCCACCACCCACCCGACGCCUUCGCCCCGUCCACUGUCGCCACCGACGUCGCCGUCCCGGAGACGGCCAUGUCGGGGAUGCUGGCAGCGGUGCGGCGCUUCAACGAGGAGCCGGCAGAGGCCAAGGCGCCGUACUACACGCGUGACGCGGCGAGGCGCGUGAGGUACAGCUGCAACGCGGACCUCUUCCAGACGCUGGUGGGCAAGUGGCGCGACACCAUCUACAUGGACGACGUGGACCGGCCGGCGGCGGGCGAGGACGAGGACCUCCUCCCGUCGGCGUUGAGGGGCGUCGCGACGGAGUACACGGGGCAGAUGCGGCGGCUGGGGCGCACCCUCUUCGAGCUGCUGUCGGAGGCCCUGGGGCUGCGUCCUGGGUACCUGGAGGAGGAGGCCGGCUGCAUGGAGGCGCUGAGCGUGGCCGGCCACUACUACCCGGCGUGCCCGGAGCCGCACCUCACGAUGGGCACCGUCCCGCACUCCGACCCCAGCUUCCUCACCGUGCUGCUCCAGGACGGCGUCGGCGGCCUCCAGGUGCUCGUGGACGACCUCGAGGACGGCAGCAAGCCUGCGGCAUGGGUGGACGUGCCGGCGAUGGGGGAGGCGUCGCUGGUGGUGAACGUCGGCGACUUCCUGCAGCUGGUGUCCAACGACAGGUUCAAGAGCCCGGUGCACCGCGUGGUGUCCAAGAGCGUGGGGCCCCGGGUGUCGGUGGCGUGCUUCUUCAGGGCGAACGGCGCGACGGUGUGCGCCCCGGUGGUCGUCGACGGGAGCGGCCCGCCGCGGUACAGGAGCUGGCUAGCAUCCGUCCGCGGAGGAGAUGCUCUGCGUGUCCAACACACAGACACGGCUCAACAACUUGAGGCUCUAGCUAGCUAG